CGGGGAACGUUAACGGCGUCGAGCGGCGGACGGGUGAGUAAUGCCUGGGAAAUUGCCCUGAUGUGGGGGAUAACCAUUGGAAACGAUGGCUAAUACCGCAUAAUAGCUUCGGCUCAAAGAGGGGGACCUUCGGGCCUCUCGCGUCAGGAUAUGCCCAGGUGGGAUUAGCUAGUUGGUGAGGUAAUGGCUCACCAAGGCGACGAUCCCUAGCUGGUCUGAGAGGAUGAUCAGCCACACUGGAACUGAGACACGGUCCAGACUCCUACGGGAGGCAGCAGUGGGGAAUAUUGCACAAUGGGCGCAAGCCUGAUGCAGCCAUGCCGCGUGUAUGAAGAAGGCCUUCGGGUUGUAAAGUACUUUCAGCAGUGAGGAAGGUGGUGUCGUUAAUAGCGGCAUCAUUUGACGUUAGCUGCAGAAGAAGCACCGGCUAACUCCGUGCCAGCAGCCGCGGUAAUACGGAGGGUGCGAGCGUUAAUCGGAAUUACUGGGCGUAAAGCGCAUGCAGGUGGUUUGUUAAGUCAGAUGUGAAAGCCCGGGGCUCAACCUCGGAAUUGCAUUUGAAACUGGCAGACUAGAGUACUGUAGAGGGGGGUAGAAUUUCAGGUGUAGCGGUGAAAUGCGUAGAGAUCUGAAGGAAUACCGGUGGCGA
This 649-nucleotide ribosomal RNA is filed under the name Vibrio maritimus. RNAcentral's name for it is "bacterial SSU rRNA". It matches the Rfam family "Bacterial small subunit ribosomal RNA", at positions 67 to 718 of the family's 1533-position model. Lineage: Bacteria; Pseudomonadati; Pseudomonadota; Gammaproteobacteria; Vibrionales; Vibrionaceae. The record is from RNAcentral.